AAUAGCAUUACACACUAACUUUGGCAAGUAUUCACUGUAAUAUAUUUUGUUUACUCUUGAUAUUUUUCAAUUGUUUAAAAAAAAACAAUUUAAAUACAUGAGCUCAUAUGUAUAUUUAGAUAGUAUCUCUCCUGAAGUAUGUUUUGUGAGGCUCCAUGAAGAGUCAUGAGGAUGAAUAACUUUUGGAAGAGAUGCUGGGAAGAGAUUAGCUGUCAUAAAGGAUGGCCCUUGUGGCCCUGUUUUGGAUCCUACAAGAUAAAGAAUGUCUUAGAGGACUACGUACAAAGUUUCUGAGGUCAACAGAGGAGGCCAGUGCUUUACUUGACAGAAAGAUCAAGUAUUACAAGAGAAUAAUGCACUGAAUGGAAGAAAAGAUGAAGUUCAUGGAACGGCACAGACUUGCUAAGGAUUAGUUUCCUCUACUAACUGGCUACACACUAUGGUGGCUUUUGAAGCCUGGGACUCAUUUUAGAGAGGGUCUGUCAUCUGGAGUCCCUGCCAGGCUGCGAACACUGAGAACUUUGGUGGAUGCCGUCGGGAGGGCGGAAGUCGCCGCCCACCCACCUGCGUAGCUGUGUCCACAGCCAGGAGGCCGCGGCUCUGUCAUUCUCCUUUCUCAAACAUGAUUGUGCUUGUGCAGGGAGGGGUCGCCUUUACUGAGAGGCAGUGUACCUUUGUAAAAUGCCUGUAUUUGGUUGCUACAUUGUUGAUCCCAACACUGGAAAGAGAAAUGGCAUGUCAUUUGUUUCAUUUCAACCUUUCAGAAAUAAAAAUCUGUAUUUGUGAUUUG
Long non-coding RNA from Cynocephalus volans (Philippine flying lemur), 790 nucleotides. RefSeq lists it as uncharacterized. The record is from RefSeq and is a predicted model, not a curated record. Lineage: Eukaryota; Metazoa; Chordata; Mammalia; Dermoptera; Cynocephalidae. The transcript has 2 exons.